AUUGAACGCUGGCGGCAUGCUUUACACGUGCAAGUCGAACGGUAACAGGCCGCCAGGUGCUGACGAGUGGCGCACGGGUGAGUAAUGCAUCGGAACGUGCCCAGUCGUGGGGGAUAACUACUCGCAAGAGUAGCUAAUACCGCAUACGAUCUAUGGAUGAAAGCGGGGGACCGUAAGGCCUCGCGCGAUUGGAGCGGCCGAUGUCAGAUUAGGUAGUUGGUGGGGUAAAGGCUCACCAAGCCAACGAUCUGUAGCUGGACUGAGAGGACGACCAGCCACACUGGGACUGAGACACGGCCCAGACUCCUACGGGAGGCAGCAGUGGGGAAUGUUGGACAAUGGGCGCAAGCCUGAUCCAGCAAUGCCGCGUGCAGGAAGAAGGCCUUCGGGUUGUAAACUGCUUUUGUACGGAACGAAACGGCUCUGGUUAAUACCCGGGGCUAAUGACGGUACCGUAAGAAUAAGCACCGGCUAACUACGUG
This 482-nucleotide ribosomal RNA is filed under the name uncultured bacterium. RNAcentral describes it as "partial 16S ribosomal RNA". It matches the Rfam family "Bacterial small subunit ribosomal RNA", at positions 30 to 507 of the family's 1533-position model. The record is from RNAcentral.